UACCUGAUGGUCUAGUGGUCAGGAUUCAGUGAUCUCACCGCCGCGGCCCAAGUUCGAUUCCCGGUCAGGGAA
Molecule: transfer RNA, 72 nt
Filed under: Danionella cerebrum
Lineage: Eukaryota; Metazoa; Chordata; Actinopteri; Cypriniformes; Danionidae
Description: tRNA-Glu
Source: RNAcentral